CAGCAGCCGCGGUAAUACGGAGGGAGCUAGCGUUGUUCGGAAUUACUGGGCGUAAAGCGCACGUAGGCGGCUCAGCAAGUCAGGGGUGAAAUCCCGGGGCUCAACCCCGGAACUGCCCUUGGAACUGCUAGGCUAGAAUCUUGGAGAGGCGAGUGGAAUUCCGAGUGUAGAGGUGAAAUUCGUAGAUAUUCGGAAGAACACCAGUGGCGAAGGCGACUCGCUGGACAAGUAUUGACGCUGAGGUGCGAAAGCGUGGGGAGCAAACAGGAUUAGAUACCCGCGUAGUCCCGUCUCUUAUACA
Molecule: ribosomal RNA, 301 nt
Filed under: uncultured bacterium
Lineage: Bacteria
Description: partial 16S ribosomal RNA
Rfam family: Bacterial small subunit ribosomal RNA
Source: RNAcentral